This 292-nucleotide ribosomal RNA is filed under the name uncultured bacterium. Its description in RNAcentral is "partial 16S ribosomal RNA". RNAcentral also lists the same sequence under 1 other name. The record is from RNAcentral.
GGACUACCCGGGUAUCUAAUCCUGUUUGCUCCCCACGCUUUCGUGCCUGAGCGUCAGUCUUGACCCAGGGGGCUGCCUUCGCCAUCGGUGUUCCUCCGCAUCUCUACGCAUUUCACUGCUACACGCGGAAUUCCACCCCCCUCUGCCAGACUCAAGCUCGCCAGUUUCCAUGGCAAUUCCCAGGUUAAGCCCGGGGCUUUCACCACAGACACAACGAACCGCCUGCGCACGCUUUACGCCCAGUAAUUCCGAUUAACGCUCGCACCCUACGUAUUACCGCGGCUGCUGGCAC